ACGGGAGGCAGCAGUGGGGAAUAUUGCACAAUGGGGGGAACCCUGAUGCAGCGACGCCGCGUGAGUGAAGAAGUAUUUCGGUAUGUAAAGCUCUAUCAGCAGGAAAGAAAAUGACGGUACCUGACUAAGGAGCCCCGGCUAACUACGUGCCAGCAGCCGCGGUAAUACGUAGGGGGCAAUCGUUAUCCGGAUUUACUGGGUGUAAAGGGAGCGUAGACGGUAAUGCAAGUCUGAAGUGAAAGCCCGGGGCUCAACCCCGGAACUGCUUUGGAAACUGUAAUACUGGAGUGCAGGAGAGGUAAGUGGAAUUCCUAGUGUAGCGGUGAAAUGCGUAGAUAUUAGGAGGAACACCAGUGGCGAAGGCGGCUUACUGGACUGUAACUGACGUUGAGGCUCGAAGGCGUGGGGAGCAAACAGGAUUAGAUACCCUGGUA
Molecule: ribosomal RNA, 434 nt
Filed under: uncultured Lachnospiraceae bacterium
Lineage: Bacteria; Bacillati; Bacillota; Clostridia; Lachnospirales; Lachnospiraceae
Description: bacterial SSU rRNA
Rfam family: Bacterial small subunit ribosomal RNA
Source: RNAcentral